UAAUACGGAGGGAGCAAGCGUUGUUCGGAAUUACUGGGCAUAAAGGGUGCGUAGGCGGAUAGGUAUGUCGGGCGUGAAAGCCCACGGCUCAACCGUGGAACUGCGUCCGAAACUGCCUGUCUUGAGUGGAGGAGAGGAGAGUGGAACUCCAGGUGGAGCGGUGAUAUGCGUUGAUAUCUGGGGGAACGCCGGUGGCGAAAGCGGCUCUCUGGCCUCUGUCUGACGCUGAGGCACGAAAGCUAGGGUAGCGAACGGGAUUAGAUACCCCGGUAGUCCUAGCCGUAAACGAUGGGCACUAAGUGGAGGGGGUUUCGACGCUCUCUCUGCUGUAGCAAAUGCGUUAAGUGCCCCGCCUGGGGAGUACGGUCGCAAGGCUG
RNAcentral lists this ribosomal RNA (377 nucleotides) under uncultured Planctomycetota bacterium. Its description in RNAcentral is "bacterial SSU rRNA". It matches the Rfam family "Bacterial small subunit ribosomal RNA", at positions 521 to 896 of the family's 1533-position model. The record is from RNAcentral. Lineage: Bacteria; Pseudomonadati; Planctomycetota.